This 558-nucleotide ribosomal RNA is filed under the name Williopsis jadinii. Its description in RNAcentral is "Cyberlindnera jadinii partial large subunit ribosomal RNA". It matches the Rfam family "Eukaryotic large subunit ribosomal RNA", at positions 62 to 630 of the family's 3401-position model. The record is from RNAcentral. Lineage: Eukaryota; Fungi; Ascomycota; Saccharomycetes; Phaffomycetales; Wickerhamomycetaceae.
AAACCAACAGGGAUUGCCUCAGUAACGGCGAGUGAAGCGGCAAAAGCUCAAAUUUGAAAUCUGAGGCUUUCAGCCCCCGAGUUGUAAUUUGAAGAUGGUGUUCUGGUGCCGGCCCCCUGUCUACGUUCCUUGGAACAGGACAUCGCAGAGGGUGAGAAUCCCGUCUGGCGGGGCGGCCUGGCUCCGUGUAGAGCGCCAUCGACGAGUCGAGUUGUUUGGGAAUGCAGCUCUAAGUGGGUGGUAAAUUCCAUCUAAAGCUAAAUAUUGGCGAGAGACCGAUAGCGAACAAGUACAGUGAUGGAAAGAUGAAAAGAACUUUGAAAAGAGAGUGAAAAAGUACGUGAAAUUGUUGAAAGGGAAGGGUAUUGGAUCAGACUUGGUGCUGUGCGAAUAGCGGCUCUUCUUGGGCCGCCCACUCGCACUCCACCGGGCCAGCAUCGGUUUGGGCGGCAAGACAAUGGCGGGGGAACGUGGCACUGCUCUCGGGCAGUGUGUUUAUAGCCCCCGCUGAUGUUGCCUGCCUAGACCGAGGACUGCGGCUCUGCCUAGGAUGCUGCG